AUGGUGGGACUCAUUGGGAAGGAGCCGGGGGUGCAAGGGAAGUCCGCCGGUGCAAGUUAUCAUUGGAUUGCUGAGAACUUUAGUAAGUACCCGGAUGAUGUUGAUGAUGAAACGGUGCAACAGUAUUGCAGGGCAUACUUGUGGUAUGUAGUCAGCCGGACUCUUUUCUCGGAUGGCACGGGCGUGAAUGCUUCCUUUAUGUGGUUAAAGUUGUUUGCUGGGUGGGAACAUGGACUGAGUUGGGGUACGGCGGCACUAGCUUAUUUGUAUCGGCAGGUAACUAGUUUUGCAUAG
RNAcentral lists this ribosomal RNA (294 nucleotides) under Triticum aestivum (bread wheat). RNAcentral's name for it is "partial small subunit ribosomal RNA". Lineage: Eukaryota; Viridiplantae; Streptophyta; Magnoliopsida; Poales; Poaceae. The record is from RNAcentral.